RNAcentral lists this long non-coding RNA (956 nucleotides) under Homo sapiens (human). Its description in RNAcentral is "non-protein coding lnc-TAF13-3:1". The record is from RNAcentral. Lineage: Eukaryota; Metazoa; Chordata; Mammalia; Primates; Hominidae.
GCCCAACAGGCAGGCCCGGGGCUCGUGUGAAGAACACAGUGGAAGCAUCCUCCAAGCCAGCCAACAAAUUUCCGUUUUCUACUGCCCUUUCGGGCCAGGGGUUAUUUUAUGAGCAUCUCCGAUGUUGCACACGUGGCGUGUGAACCGAGAGAAAGAAGAUGGAGAGAUCACCCUCCAGACGUCGUCGCCUGGAAGAGGCCCCAAAAUUGCCAUAUAAGAACCCAACACACCUUGCUCAGCAGCAGGAACCCUGGAGUCGGCUCAACUCAACCCCCACAAUUACUUCCAUGAGGCGGGAUGCCUACUAUUUUGAUCCCGAGAUACCAAAGGAUGACCUGGACUUCCGCUUAGCAGCCUUGUACAACCACCACACUGGGACAUUCAAGAACAAAAGUGAGAUACUGUUAAACCAGAAAACCACGCAGGAUACCUAUAGGUAAGUGGUAGAGGCAGAGCCUCUCCAGCCUAAACAUGCUGCCAUCCAGUCAUAUAAGGUAAAAUGUCACCUGGAAAAUGAUAAUCACUAGGUACUCAUUUGUAUACAAAUUUCUGUAUUUUUACAUCUGUGUCUAUAAUAUAGUUUCUGUAUUUUCACUGUCUAAGAUGAACAGAAAUCUCCCAAGAUUGUGCUCAUCUGUAUAAACAAAAUCUUUGGUUAAUCCCACAGAGGUAAAAAGAGUCUUUGGCUGCUUUAUUCUUGAGAUCACAUUCAACUACCUUGCCUUCCUCACCUUUCUCUGAUUGAUUUCACUCUCCACUUUUCUUCCCUAUGCCUUCUUCUAGAACCAAGAUCCAAUUCCCUGGAGAAUUUUUAACCCCUCCCACUCCACCCAUCACUUUCCUGGCUAACAUCAGACACUGGAUCAACCCUAAAAAGGAGUCCAUCCACAGCAUCCAAGGAUCCAUAGUGUCCCCUCACACUGCAGCCACCAAUGGAGGCUACUCCCGAAAGAAAG